RNAcentral lists this ribosomal RNA (253 nucleotides) under uncultured bacterium. RNAcentral describes it as "partial 16S ribosomal RNA". It matches the Rfam family "Bacterial small subunit ribosomal RNA", at positions 524 to 776 of the family's 1533-position model. The record is from RNAcentral.
UACGUAGGCAGCAAGCGUUGUUCGGGAUUACUGGGCGUAAAGAGUGUGUAGGCGGUGCUCUAAGUUCGGUGUGAAAUCUCCCGGCUCAACUGGGAGGGUGCGCCGGAAACUGGAAUGCUUGAGCGUGGGAGAGGAAAGCGGAAUUCCUGGUGUAGCGGUGAAAUGCGUAGAUAUCAGGAGGAACACCUGCGGUGUAGACGGCUUUCUGGACCAUUGCUGACGCUGAGACACGAAAGCGUGGGUAGCAAACAGG